GAUGAACGCUGGCGGCGUGCCUAAUACAUGCAAGUCGAGCGAACGGAUGAGAAGCUUGCUUCUCUGAUGUUAGCGGCGGACGGGUGAGUAACACGUGGAUAACCUACCUAUAAGACUGGGAUAACUUCGGGAAACCGGAGCUAAUACCGGAUAAUAUUUUGAACCGCAUGGUUCAAUAGUGAAAGACGGUUUUGCUGUCACUUAUAGAUGGAUCCGCGCUGCAUUAGCUAGUUGGUAAGGUAACGGCUUACCAAGGCAACGAUGCAUAGCCGACCUGAGAGGGUGAUCGGCCACACUGGAACUGAGACACGGUCCAGACUCCUACGGGAGGCAGCAGUAGGGAAUCUUCCGCAAUGGGCGAAAGCCUGACGGAGCAACGCCGCGUGAGUGAUGAAGGUCUUCGGAUCGUAAAACUCUGUUAUUAGGGAAGAACAAAUGUGUAAGUAACUGUGCACAUCUUGACGGUACCUAAUCAGAAAGCCACGGCUAACUACGUG
This 497-nucleotide ribosomal RNA is filed under the name uncultured bacterium. Its description in RNAcentral is "partial 16S ribosomal RNA". It matches the Rfam family "Bacterial small subunit ribosomal RNA", at positions 28 to 507 of the family's 1533-position model. The record is from RNAcentral.